This is a non-coding RNA of Podarcis lilfordi (Lilford's wall lizard), 69 nucleotides long. The record is from the annotation of a GenBank genome assembly. Lineage: Eukaryota; Metazoa; Chordata; Lepidosauria; Squamata; Lacertidae.
GGAUAGUUCAGUUGGUAGAGCAUGAGAUUCUUAAUCUCAGGGUUGUGAGUUCAAGCCCCAUGUUAGGCA